ACCAUCUCUUUCACAGAGUUCUUAUUCUCUCGAAUCUCUUGUAUUCUUCAUAUUAUUUUUUUCUUGCUGAAUCAAAUGAAUCACACUCCUGAGAAGCCUCAAGACUCAUAGUAUGUUUGGGUAUUCUUAUUAGCAGUGGCGGACCUACAGAAGCGCAAGGAGGUGCAGAUGCACCUCCCGUCGCCGGAAAAAACUAUGGAGUUAUUGGAUUUGCCCCUUUGCUCUUUGGCUUUUUAAAAGGUGCUAUCAAGACGCUCCUCAUGGAGUGCGUCGAUCUGAGGCUUUUUCAAGUUUCACAAACGACGUCGUACUUAGGAUUUAGGUUCAAUGAAACGCAUGUUUCAAUGAAGUUGUUUAAAAAUCAAACUCUUCGGUGUUGGUGCAACCUAAAUAACAGCUGUUUCAAAAUUCAUUA
This is a long non-coding RNA of Prunus dulcis (almond), 415 nucleotides long. RefSeq lists it as uncharacterized. The record is from RefSeq and is a predicted model, not a curated record. Lineage: Eukaryota; Viridiplantae; Streptophyta; Magnoliopsida; Rosales; Rosaceae. The transcript has 2 exons.